GAAACGGAGAACGCGCGAGAGGACGAAGGCCCUAACCGGAAACGUCCUCCCGGCUGCGACCGAACACCAAGCGAAAGGCGAAAGCGGGGCGAUCGAAAGCAGCCGAAGCGGAACGAAGUCGCUACAAGCGGGGCGCAGACGUGUGCGCGCCGCUGUUUCUCUCUGUUUCCGGCUUUCUGUUGCUGCUGCUGCUGCUGCUGCUGUGAGCAUACCGCCCCCAAAACGCCAACACGAGACACACAGACGGACAGGCAGGUGUCUGUCAGUGUGUGUGUGUACGUGUACGUGUGGAGGUCCGCACGAGCGUUCGCAGACUUGAAGGGCAUUUGUUGUAUUUGUAUGUCUCCCUUGACACGCCGCGUGGGACGGGCAGUUUUCGCCUUCUUGGUUCUCGGGUUUCUCCUUGAUGCUUCUCGGCUCGCGUCUUGCUGGCGCGCCGGCAGGCGUCUCGGCCACCGCGUUGUUGCACUCCUGUGCGCCAGCCACGCCGGCGUGCCGGCUGCUCUCCAUACGUCGUAACGGCGCACCAACCUUCUCGUCGAUCGCGUGCGGCCAUGGUGUCCGUGGCGGCCGCUGCAGUAGCGGAAUGGUGGUGGCGCUCCACGUGCAGCAGCGUCGCAUUAGCUGGAAUCCACUUAAGUGGGGACGCACGGACGUGGGGCGGUCGACGAACCCGCAGCUGGAGGAGGAACUGCCGGAGAUCUUCGCCGCUCAGCCGAUAGAGGUGGACGACUACAUCCGCCCAGAUAAAAGUCUGUUCGAGCGUCUGGAAGACUUCUGGGACUGGGCCGUGAGCUUCCUGCAACCUGUGGAGAAGCAGGUGGAGAUCAUGCGCAGCCUGCGCCACGAUGGGUUCAUGUCGUUCGACCUCGGUGGCUGGGGCCACGUCUUCUUCUUCUACGGCCUGUGCAUGCGUGUGCUGACGCUGAUUCCGUCCCUCUACAGCCACCGAAACUCGCUGCGCAUGGCCCACAUCGGCCCGCAGAUAUCGGAGAUCACCAACAAUCAGAACAAGGCCAAAAAUGACCGCACCUUAUCGUCGGCGGAAAAGCGUGUCAUCAAGGACGGCUACAACCGCAUGAAGUACGCGCUGUGCAAGAAGCACAACUGCUCGCAGUGGAAGAGCUUCCUGACAACGUUCACCACGCCCAUCACCAUGUCGGCUUUUCUGUCCAUUCGUCGCCUGGCGAUGUACGAGACGGAUCUCGAGAUGGCGCCGUUCCUAUGGGUGAAGGACUUGACGAUGCCGGACCCGACCUACGCGCUGCCGGCCAUCUGCGCCGGCAUGUUCCUGCUCAAUUUCGAGAUGAACCAGCGCAUGCAGCGUGGCGGCCGCAGCGCCAGCGGUUUGUACGUGCGGUGGGUCGUGCGUGCGUCGUCUGUCGUCGGUAUCUACUUUUUCGCUGGGCAGCCGUCAGCCAUGUUCGCCUACUGGAUUGGACUGUCAACGGCCGGCUUACUGCAGCCGAUCCUCCUGCGCUGGCAGCCCUUCCGUGACUUCUUCCAGUUCCCGGAUCCUCCCCAGGCUGCAAAGUCGAACAUCAUUUCCGAGAUCAAGGGACCAUCGCUGUAUGAGCGCCUCUUCGCAACUCAAGAGGAGAAGACUCGAUUGGAGGCGCAGCGCAAGGCAGACCGCAUCAAGAACAGCGCCGCACGCAUCGAGACGGUGGACGACUAUGAGGUUGUCUUUGACGACGACGUGAAGGAAAAGCCGUCGGGGAAUCGCAGAUGAUGCGCGAGACCUUGUCGUGUGUGGGUUCUAUAAGGCUGGAGGAUGGGUGAGAGGCUGGUGGGCACACGUCACCUGCCCGCAAUACGGCGCACACAUACGUGAGCGCCCACAAACACGCCGCUUUUCGUCGUCUGCGUUGCUCUUCCCUCGCUCGCAUCGCCCACGUCUUCUCUUUUCGCGUGUGCACGGCUGCGUGCACGUGACUCGCCCGGUUAUCACAACUCGUGACAACACGGGCGUUAACAAUC
Molecule: unclassified non-coding RNA, 1980 nt
Filed under: Leishmania donovani
Lineage: Eukaryota; Euglenozoa; Kinetoplastea; Trypanosomatida; Trypanosomatidae
Description: gene:LdHU3.11.1400(CDS-product:60Kd_inner_membran e_protein_putative)
Source: RNAcentral